CUUUGGAGAAAACCUUUGACAGUUAACUGCUGACAAAGUAGAUAUAACGGGACCUUGAUAUCUGCUGAGGUUUAACCCCAGGACCCUCUUAUGGAUACCAAAAUCCAUGGGUGAUCCCGUCCCAUUAUAUACAAUGGUCUGGGACACUGAUGCCUGUGCUGCUGAUUUGUGGAUGGGAUCCAUUCUUGGACUGCUUAUAAAAAGGAAUGAGGUUUAUGAUAUACAGUAAGAACCCCAUAUCUGUAGGGGAUGCAUUCCCAGAUUUCACAUGGAUAAAAACAACAACAACAACAACAACAACCAGCAGAUAAUAGCAAACCCUAUUGAAAUUAAGAAUUUGAAACAAGGCAUGCCAUAGAAUCACUCUGGAGGACCUAGAAAUGCCUAGAGAGAACUUAUUAUUUUGAACAAGGGUAAACUAAACUGUAUAUUGGUUCCGUAAAUAUGGAGCUAGUACUAUAAAGACAAGGAAUUAAACCCAGGUUCCCACCUUAUCCUUCCAAGGGUAUUGGAAAAUUUUCCUUUGAGGACAAGGGUGGAAGAGGAAUACAGAAAGAUUAAAAGGCUGUGACAGUGGAGCAGCCAACAGACAUUAAAACAACCCACGUAUAGCCAUCUGGCACAAAUGACUUUGCCUUCUUCCAAUGUACAACAUACAGAAGUGCUGGUUUAGAAUGUACCUGGUAAUCGUGAUGGGAUUAUUGCAUCCACGCUUUCUUUUCUUCUGUUGAGUCACCAUUGGAUGUCAGUUCCAUUUCACCGAUCCCUGAGAGAGUCCAAGGGAACACAAAUGAUGCUCAACAAGCAGUCUUUUCCUCUCCUCCUCCCACUGUCUUCCUUCUUCCAAAGACAGUAGGUGAAACGUCACCACUUAGCCCUGAAGUUGUUCACCAUCCACUUCACCAACAGAUUCCUGUUUUGGUGGAUAUGUGCAUAUAUGCAUAAGGUGGAGGAGUCUCAAACUUGCAGGCAGGUUCCUAAGAGCAUUUCUGUGUCAUAACGUUUUAGCCAACCUUGCCUUUGUUUGUCUUGAAGGUGUGGGUUUGCAGAUUGGUGCAAGCAGCCACGUUUAUGAAAGCUUAAGCAAUUAUAUAGAGAAAAAGAUCGAUAUGAAAAUAUGAGGAGGUUUAAUAUUAAGACUUCCCAACUUUGUCUGUGUGAAAUGUUGAAGCUAUCAUUUUCUAGAGAGAGAUGUUAAAACCUCACCGUCUGUUGCUGAUUUGAGAGUUCCAAUGCUAUCGUCUGUGAGAUCAUAAUUGAAGAGUGAUGGAAAAUCUGGCACGAGGGAAGCUCAUCUUCUUUAAAACUAAACAAGUCAGUUCAGAGUUCAUUUUGUCAAGCUACUGAAAGAAUUUCAACCGUCGACUAGGCAACUUCAAUGCAAAACGUAUUGGCAGUACUUACAACUUGAAAAACACCAUAUGCUUCUGAAAUAAAGACCUAAACCAUUACUAGC
This is a long non-coding RNA of Anolis carolinensis (green anole), 1456 nucleotides long. RefSeq lists it as uncharacterized. The record is from RefSeq and is a predicted model, not a curated record. The transcript has 3 exons. NCBI's taxonomy places the organism in Eukaryota, Metazoa, Chordata, Lepidosauria, Squamata, Anolidae.